This 253-nucleotide ribosomal RNA is filed under the name uncultured bacterium. Its description in RNAcentral is "partial 16S ribosomal RNA". It matches the Rfam family "Bacterial small subunit ribosomal RNA", at positions 524 to 776 of the family's 1533-position model. The record is from RNAcentral.
UACGUAGGGUGCGAGCGUUAAUCGGAAUUACUGGGCGUAAAGCGUGCGCAGGCGGCUUCGCAAGUCAGACGUGAAAUCCCCGGGCUUAACCUGGGAACUGCGUCCGAUACUGGAUGGCUUGAAUUCGGGAGAGGGAUGCAGAAUUCCAGGUGUAGCGGUGAAAUGCGUAGAUAUCUGGAGGAAUACCGGUGGCGAAGGCGGCAUCCUGGACCGACAUUGACGCUGAGGAGCGAAAGCUAGGGGAGCAAACGGG